UACGGAGGAUCCGAGCGUUAUCCGGAAUUAUUGGGUUUAAAGGGUGCGUAGGCGGCUUUUUAAGUCAGCGGUGAAAUUUUGCAGCUUAACUGUAACAGUGCCGUUGAUACUGGGGAGCUAGGAUUUGGUUGCUGUGGGUGGAAUGUGUGGUGUAGCGGUGAAAUGCUUAGAGAUCACACAGAAUAUCGAUUGCGAAGGCAGCUCACAAAGCCAAGAUUGACGCUGAGGCACGAAAGUGUGGGGAUCAAACAGGAUUAGAUA
This 261-nucleotide ribosomal RNA is filed under the name uncultured prokaryote. RNAcentral describes it as "partial 16S ribosomal RNA". It matches the Rfam family "Bacterial small subunit ribosomal RNA", at positions 524 to 784 of the family's 1533-position model. The record is from RNAcentral.